GUCAAGAUGGCCGAGUUGGUCAAAGUAGCAAGCUGAACAGGUGCUGGUCCGAAAGGUCGUGGGUUCAAAGCCCAUUCUUGACA
Brassica napus (rape) is the source of this 83-nucleotide non-coding RNA. Lineage: Eukaryota; Viridiplantae; Streptophyta; Magnoliopsida; Brassicales; Brassicaceae. The record is from Rfam.